CCUACGGGAGGCAGCAGUAGGGAAUAUUGCUCAAUGGGGGAAACCCUGAAGCAGCAACGCCGCGUGGAGGAUGAAGGUUUUCGGAUUGUAAACUCCUUUUGUUAGAGAAGAGUAGGACGGUGUCUAACUAAUAAGCACCAGCUAACGCCAUGCCAGCAGCCGCGGUAAUACGGGGGGGUCAAGCGUUACUCGGGAUCAUUGGGAGUAAAGAGCGCGUAGGCGGGGUAGCAAGUCAGAUGUGAAAUCCUAUGGCUUAACCAUAGAACUGCAUUUGAAACUGUUAUUCUAGAGUAUGGGAGAGGCAGGUGGAAUUCUUGGUGUAGGGGUAAAAUGCGUAGAGAUUAAGAGGAACACUAAUUGCGAAGGCGACCUGCUAGACCACAACUGACGCUGAUGCGCGAAAGCGUGGGGAGCAAACAGGAUUAGAUACCCCUGUAGUC
RNAcentral lists this ribosomal RNA (440 nucleotides) under uncultured bacterium. RNAcentral describes it as "partial 16S ribosomal RNA". It matches the Rfam family "Bacterial small subunit ribosomal RNA", at positions 338 to 795 of the family's 1533-position model. The record is from RNAcentral.